ACCACCAAACCAACACCCACCACAACCACCACCACCACAACCACCAAACCAACACCCACCACAACCACCACCACCACAACCACCAAACCAACACCCACCACCACCAAACCAACGCCCACCACACCAAACCCCACCACAACCACCCCUACAGCCAGGCCAAAGCCAACCACAACUAUGGCCAAGCCAACACCCACCACACCAAAAUCCACCCCAACUGCAGCUAAGCCAAAACUUGCUGCAGCCACAGCCAAACCAACACCCACCACCCCAACAUCCACCACCACUACAGCCAAGCCAGCACCUGCCACAACAGCAAAGACACAACUGAAAACUGCCACAACCACAAAGCCAGAACCAGAAAGGCCUGAUAACCAGUCUCGCUCUUUCCUUGGAGCCCACCUAAGACCCAGAUAAUAAAGUAUCUCCAGAGGCUGACACUGGAGAGCCUGUAAGCUCCUUCACUACAGAGGAUCCAGCCUUAUUAGAAAGUAUGGGCACAGCCUUCAGCCCCAGAUCAGUCCCAGAAAUAAAGAACGGUGUCAAAGAGCAUGGGGAGGAGAAAUCAGCCUUUCCCAGUCCAUCUCCAUCCCUCAGCCAAGCUGUUCCAGAGAUGAAGCUAGGUUUCAAUAGAGCUGAGCUCAUAACCCCCUCCAAGUCAGUGGUCCUCAGCCCUGAAGAGCCCACGUUCUUGCGCUUAACAUCAUCCUCCAAAGACAAAAAAGGGCCGAGCCCCCAUUUCCAGACCUCCCUCUCAGCAGGUGCCCUGGACACAGAAGAACUGGAGACAAACUCGGACCAGACAAGUGUGGAUCCACUCAAAGGAGGAGCCCCCAGUACCUGCUUGGGCCUCUUGCUCUUCCUCCUCCCCAGUGCCAUCCUGGUGGGCCUUCUGCUCUGAAGGGUCUUCCUCAGCUCUCCCUGCACCCCUCACCAAGGCUUUUGUCAGCGCUGGUUGUUCCACAGCCCUGGCAGGCUCAGGAGCUCCUUGGACAAUUCCUGCGCUCCCUCCUUGUGCUGCCUUCUCUGCUGCAGCCCCAGAGAGCCAAGGGCAGCUGAUGCUGGGGGAGCUUUGCCCCCUUCCUGAGGAGACCUGAGGCCAGGAGGGUGUUUGCCAUAAUGCUGGUGACCUUGGAUGCUUCUCCUUUUUCCUGGCUUUCGUUCCGUUUCCAGGCUGGAAGUGUUGACCUCUCCCACCCAUCUGCCCACAUGGCUGGCAGGCCCUGCCACAGCCUGACCCCGGGGACAGCAGGGUGACUUGGGGACAAUGAGACAUGGUGGUUGGCUUUGGUGUUUGUCAGGAGGAGUUUCCCACAGAAAGGCUCUUUUCCCUCCCAGUGUGUUUCUUUCAGUUUUGGACAUAUUUGAUCUUUUUCCUAUCUUACCCAAAUAGAAUGUCUUUUUUGCAAAGAGAGUGGCUGUUUUGAGGAUUUCUGUUUCCUCCUGGUUCUGGUGGAGCUCUGGCCAGUACUGCCCAGCUGUUCUCCCCUCUCCUCCUCCAUUCUGCAGCCCUUGCCUCCUCCCAAUAUUCAUUUUACGCCUGUGCCUGCACCUGUGUGCACACACAGAAGAGAAACCUUCAGAGCUGAGAGAGGCCACCAGCUCCUUCAUGUAGCUUUUCCCUGCAUGGCUUCAUUCUUUGCAUAAUUUCAGUGUAUUUGAAUUUAGAUACAGAUUCCUCUUGACGUGUAACUUGUGUGUGUGUGGUCAAGGAGAACAAGUCCCCACUUGUGCUGGUACAAUCUGAGCUCCAGAGGUACAAGUGACAUUGUUAGAGGUUAUUGGUGGCUCCUGGGCCUCUUGCAGGACCACUGGCAUUGUCUGGGCCACUGUGUUUUGUCACCCCAAAUCUCUCCUCCCUUCACCUGAGGAUUCCCAGUCAGGUGUGUUGAAUCUGUGCCAAGCUUUGCAGACAGGUGGAAGGAAGAUAAUGGGGAGGUACAGCCCCUGCUCUGGUCAUUGCAGCUUUUCAUUUCUUACAGAUGAGGUGGAGGAUGACCUGAAGGCCAUUAUUCAGAUCCUCCACUGCUGCUCUGUCCUGUGCAUCUCCAGAGCAUGCACUGAAUAAAUCCUGUUGUGAAAGUCUGUUCACUCUCUCUCUUGGGGAUCUGGACACCUGGGAGCUGCUUACUAUUAAAAUGCUCUUAAUUAUGUGCUUACAUAGAACUGCUAAAAGACAACGUGACUUCUGUGGGUCCUGAAGGGGUUUUUGGGCUUUCCAAAAGCAUCCAUGCGCUGCCUUUUCUAAGGGUGUAACUUAAUGUUUUUAAACCUUUAUAAAAGCAGCAGGAGGCCAUGGGGAUUGAGGAUGACGUAGGGAAUUUUUCUUGAGCAUCCAGCUGAGUGUAAAAUAAAAAUGGGUCCCCACCAGGAAUUCUUG
This is a long non-coding RNA of Geospiza fortis (medium ground-finch), 2377 nucleotides long. Lineage: Eukaryota; Metazoa; Chordata; Aves; Passeriformes; Thraupidae. The record is from Ensembl.